This 206-nucleotide ribosomal RNA is filed under the name uncultured Chlamydiales bacterium. RNAcentral describes it as "partial 16S ribosomal RNA". It matches the Rfam family "Bacterial small subunit ribosomal RNA", at positions 306 to 505 of the family's 1533-position model. The record is from RNAcentral. Lineage: Bacteria; Pseudomonadati; Chlamydiota; Chlamydiia; Chlamydiales.
GCCAACACUGGGACUGAGAACUGCCCAGACUCCUACGGGAGGCUGCAGUCGAGAAUCUUUCGCAAUGGGCGAAAGCCUGACGAAGCGACGCCGUGUGAGCGAUGAAGGCCUUAGGGUUGUAAAGCUCUUUCGCCUGUGAACAAGUGAGUCUGACGAACAAUCAGAUAAAUUGAGGGUAACAGGUAAAGAAGCACCGGCUAACUCCA